This 388-nucleotide ribosomal RNA is filed under the name uncultured bacterium. RNAcentral's name for it is "bacterial SSU rRNA". It matches the Rfam family "Bacterial small subunit ribosomal RNA", at positions 28 to 417 of the family's 1533-position model. The record is from RNAcentral.
GACGAACGCUGGCGGCGUGCUUAACACGUGCAAGUCGAGCGGUAAGGCCCUUUCGGGGGUACACGAGCGGCGAACGGGUGAGUAACACGUGGGUGACCUGCCCUCAGCUCUGGGAUAAGCCUGGGAAACCGGGUCUAAUACUGGAUAUGACUCCAUGACGCAUGUUGUGGGGUGGAAAGCCUUGUGCGGCUGAGGAUGGGCCCGCGGCCUAUCAGCUUGUUGGUGGGGUGAUGGCCUACCAAGGCGACGACGGGUAGCCGGCCUGAGAGGGCGACCGGCCACACUGGGACUGAGACACGGCCCAGACUCCUACGGGAGGCAGCAGUGGGGAAUCUUGCGCAAUGGGCGAAAGCCUGACGCAGCGACGCCGCGUGAGGGAUGACGGCCU